This 215-nucleotide ribosomal RNA is filed under the name Campeiostachys nutans. Its description in RNAcentral is "Elymus nutans partial small subunit ribosomal RNA". The stretch from base 37 to 215 matches the Rfam family "Eukaryotic small subunit ribosomal RNA", at positions 684 to 864 of the family's 1831-position model. Lineage: Eukaryota; Viridiplantae; Streptophyta; Magnoliopsida; Poales; Poaceae. The record is from RNAcentral.
AGACCGGUUUAUUGGUCGUGCUUUUGUAUGUACUGGUAUUAUUGGUUUCUCCUUUCUGACGAAUCUUAAUGCCGUUGAUUUGGUGUUUUGGGGAAUCAGGACUGUUACUUUGAAAAAAUUAGAGUGUUUAAAGCAGGCUCACGCUUGAAUACAUUAGCAUGAAAUAACGGAAUAGGACGUUUGAUUCUAUUUUGUUGGUUUCUAGGAUCGACGUA